AGAUGCACGGGGGAUCGCUCCUCCACAAGCGUGCAUGCCCAAAGUGAUGAACCAUCUCACAUUUAUACAAUAAAACAAAUGAAUAUUCAAUUAACGCCUAUACAUAUUCCUUACCUAAACCCGCUUACUCUCGCUUCGUAUGUUAAUUAGCUUAUCAGUCCUUUGCCUGGAAUGUGGUGGUCUUGCAGGUGAUUCAUGUCCUUGUGACCAUCCGAUCUUCUCCAGCAAGGAGACUUAGCACUCCCUCCCUCUAGAUAGCAUUGGAAUAUCUCUCAUCCUUUUCUCAUUCUUUUUUAAAUAGCCCCUUUGACAAGGCCUCAAGGACAAGAGUCCAAGUACUGAUAGCCUGAUGAAUAGAGACUUGUUAGAACUUGUAGGGCACAAGCCCUGGGAGCAAAGGAACAAGCUAACUGCAGGCCCCUGAGCCGGCACAGUUAAGGAGGCAACCAGACGGACAGAGAAACGAGUAGCCAGAUAAGGGAACAGAUGGCGCCAAUAUGUAAUUAAGAAAGCCGCGUAGAAAGAAACUCCCUAACCUUGGAAUAAAAAUUAUUGCUAGGUCAAGAUAAACUAGUAAGUAUCUAUUGUUCUAACGGUGUGCCUUAAAAAUUAACCAAUUAGUGUUUUUUACGCUUAAGAUUUAACCAAUCAGUGUGUAAUAUGUAGAAGGUGGAAACAUAUAUAAUUGUAAGAAAAUCACUAAUAAAUGGACAUUUGCUUGCAUCAAGCUGCGUCCCGUCUCUUCAUUCGCCGCAAAUUGGUGACCCCGACGUGAUACGUUUAAGGAUCUAACGUGAAGGGCUCUCGAAUCGCCUAUCUGAGCGACAUGCAGCGAAUCCCACAGAACUUUGAAUGAUCUGCUGAAAGGAAGCAGGAGCUGGCUGGCCAUAAAUCCCUCCGGAGUUGAGAGGUGAGCUGUGGGAAAUCUGUAACGGGGAAUCAGGCUUCAUCCCCAGAAAGAGAC
Molecule: long non-coding RNA, 964 nt
Organism: Falco peregrinus (peregrine falcon)
Lineage: Eukaryota; Metazoa; Chordata; Aves; Falconiformes; Falconidae
Exons: 3
Source: RefSeq, a predicted model, not a curated record